RNAcentral lists this long non-coding RNA (1451 nucleotides) under Salmo salar (Atlantic salmon). RNAcentral's name for it is "lncRNA (ENSSSAG00000116658.1)". Lineage: Eukaryota; Metazoa; Chordata; Actinopteri; Salmoniformes; Salmonidae. The record is from RNAcentral.
CCUCAAUUCGUUGGGGCAUAGACUCUACAAGGUGUCGAAAGUGUUUCACAGGGAUGCUGGCCCAUGUUGACUCCAAUGCUUCCCACAGUUGUGUCAAGUUGGCUGGAUGUCCUUUGGUUGGUGAACCAUUCUUGAUACACACGGGAAAAUGUUGAGCGUGAAAAACCCAGCAGUGUUGCAGUUCUUGACACUCAAACCGGUGCGCCUGGCACCUACUACCAUAACCUGUUCAAAUGCACUUCAAAAUGUUCUUGCCCAUUCACCCUCUCAAUGGCACACAUACACAAUCCAUGUCUCAAUUGUCUUAAAAAUCCUCCUUUAACCUGUCUCCGCCCCUUCAUCUACACUGAUUUGAAGUGGAUUUAACAAGUGUCCUCAAUAAGGGAUCGUAGCUUUCACCCGGUCAGUCUGUCAUGGAUAGAGCAGGUGUCCUUAAUGUUUUGUACACUCAGUGUCUAGUGCACUAUAAAGGGAUUAGAGUGCCAUUUGGGAUUCAUAUGCUUUUCCAUCCCAAUGUGAUCAUGUACAGUGGCAUCGGUAGUGUUACCCAGACAGAGGCUGUCCUCUCCUUCCUGCUAUAUGGUGCCUCACAGUGAAACCCAUGCCUUGUCUGUCAUGAGUAUGGUCACAGAGGCUGACACAAGAAUAAAUCACUAUUUGAUUGAGAUCCUUGAUCGUUCGAGUCCUUUUAAGUAUAUUAAUGGAUAUUAAGCCCAUAUAUGCCACAGCUUGGUAUGAAGUGUGUGUUGUGAGGUCAUUGUGGGGAGGUGUAUGACUGUGUGGCCGGCAGGAGUGGCCUGGUGGUGACGGGGAGACAAGGGUUUAAUGGGACUGUGGAGAAGGGGGGACUAUUGACUUAGAGUGAAACUGUCUGCAUCCCUGCCUAGCACUCUAACGGGAGAGUUGGGACAGACUGAGAGAGAGAUGAGGCCUGGGCUGAGUCCCUCUGACCUGCCCAGUAGUACCCCUCAUCACUCUCCCUUCCACUGAAGGCUGAAAGCGGUGUUUCUUGCAUCUCUCUCCCAAUGUGAAGGUUAUUUCAAAGUGUGUGUGUGUGUGUGUGUGUGUGUGUGUGAGAUUUCUCUCCAUUUGCUGCUGUGCACACAGACGCAAAAUAACACACCUUUCUGUCAUAGUCCGAGGCAUUGUUUCAAAUACCAAAUGUUUAUUUUAUUACUCAAGAUUAUUCCAUAGUGUUUGUAUAAUAUUACAUAUUCAAAUAUGAAACUGACUGUAAUAUGUUAAUUUACAUGAUGUUGAAUGAAUGGGAGAGUUACUAAAACCAUUUAGUUUAUGCAAAUAUGAAAAAUAGAAGGAUAAAGCGGCUCUUUCAUAAGCUAGUUUCUUUACUUUUCAGUACAUAUUGUUUUGAUUGUACUCAACAAUAUUUUAUGUAUUUCAAUAAACUGUUCAUUAAAUCAUGAUUAAAAUGCCAUUUAUUUAUCACGCAC